This 284-nucleotide long non-coding RNA is filed under the name Lathyrus oleraceus (garden pea). RNAcentral's name for it is "Pisum sativum (pea) long non-coding RNA (PSAT_LNC036991)". Lineage: Eukaryota; Viridiplantae; Streptophyta; Magnoliopsida; Fabales; Fabaceae. The record is from RNAcentral.
GGUUGGUCAAAGUACAAUGUUUGUUGUGGUGUGUAGUAGUCAUGUUGGUAGUCCUCUUGUAUACCCGUGUCGGGGCUAGGUGGAGGACUGGAAGAGCUCGGGACAUUGUCGUGAUGGAAGUGUUGGGAUUGGUGGAAGUGGGGGGAUUGAUAUUGUAGUAGGUGUUGGGACUGUUGAUGGUGGUGGGAAUGUUGAGUUUGGUGUUGGUAGUCUUCAUGGUAUUGGGGUUGAGUUUGUGGUAUGUAUUGUUGAUUUGGUUGGGGGUGGACAUGUGUUGUGGUGGU